UACGUAGGGCGCAAGCGUUGUUCGGAUUCAUUGGGCGUAAAGGGUGCGUAGGUGGCGUGGUAAGUCGGGUGUGAAAUCUCGGAGCUUAACUCCGAAAUUGCAUUCGAUACUGCCGUGCUUGAGGACUGGAGAGGAGACUGGAAUUCAUGGUGUAGCAGUGAAAUGCGUAGAGAUCAUGAGGAAGACCAGUGGCGAAGGCGGGUCUCUGGACAGUUCCUGACACUGAGGCACGAAGGCCAGGGGAGCAAACGGG
RNAcentral lists this ribosomal RNA (253 nucleotides) under uncultured bacterium. RNAcentral describes it as "partial 16S ribosomal RNA". It matches the Rfam family "Bacterial small subunit ribosomal RNA", at positions 524 to 776 of the family's 1533-position model. The record is from RNAcentral.